Molecule: transfer RNA, 76 nt
Filed under: Lachnospiraceae bacterium
Lineage: Bacteria; Bacillati; Bacillota; Clostridia; Lachnospirales; Lachnospiraceae
Also listed under: 5 other names
Description: tRNA-Asp
Rfam family: tRNA
About the family: Transfer RNA (tRNA) molecules are approximately 80 nucleotides in length. Their secondary structure includes four short double-helical elements and three loops (D, anti-codon, and T loops). Further hydrogen bonds mediate the characteristic L-shaped molecular structure. tRNAs have two regions of fundamental functional importance: the anti-codon, which is responsible for specific mRNA codon recognition, and the 3' end, to which the tRNAs corresponding amino acid is attached (by aminoacyl-tRNA synthetases). tRNAs cope with the degeneracy of the genetic code in two manners: having more than one tRNA (with a specific anti-codon) for a particular amino acid; and 'wobble' base-pairing, i.e. permitting non-standard base-pairing at the 3rd anti-codon position.
Source: RNAcentral
GGUUCGGUGGUGUAGUGGCUAACAUGCCUCCCUGUCACGGAGGAGAUCGCGAGUUCAAUCCUCGUCCGAACCGCCA